This 592-nucleotide long non-coding RNA is filed under the name Sorghum bicolor (sorghum). Its description in RNAcentral is "long non-coding RNA (SBIC_LNC012351)". The record is from RNAcentral. Lineage: Eukaryota; Viridiplantae; Streptophyta; Magnoliopsida; Poales; Poaceae.
ACUUAGUAGCUGUUUUAUGCAAUUAUUUCUCUAUAGUCUAGUCUAAUAGUUUAUGUGAAUAACCUUGACUGAUUUCCUGACUUUCCUUACCGUUCCCCGGCAACGGCGCCAGAAAUGCUUGUUGACACUAGCUAACACCACUUAGAUACUAGGUUGUCAUCCCCAGGAUGGUGCUAGAGUGUACAAAGGUAUUUAUAAAUGUAAAGGCUAUCUAGAAAAUAAUCUAUUCUAUCCGCAAGCGCACAGAUAAAACACCUCAUUGUAGCAUUUCACCAGGUAAGUAUUCCAGGUAUCAUUAUUUAUAAUUUUGCUUAGGAGAACGGUGGAGAUAAAUAAAAUCUAUCAAGGCCUAGACUAGAGAUAAACUUGCAAGAACAUGAUUACUAGUGAGAAACUCGUCACACAGUCACUUACUUUGGCAGGGGGUAAACCAUAAAGAUAAUGAUAUUGAAUUAUAAGUUCAUGGGUGAAUAACACAACGAUUAGAAAAUAGACUACUCCUCAUAUAUGUAAGGUGACGUCGGAUUAGCUAGAGAAUGGAUUCUAAGUUAUCUACUAUCUACUAAGUCACAAUCUACUCUAGUUAUCUACA